Molecule: ribosomal RNA, 511 nt
Filed under: uncultured Burkholderia sp.
Lineage: Bacteria; Pseudomonadati; Pseudomonadota; Betaproteobacteria; Burkholderiales; Burkholderiaceae
Description: bacterial SSU rRNA
Rfam family: Bacterial small subunit ribosomal RNA
Source: RNAcentral
UCGCGAAAGCCGGAUUAAUACCGCAUACGCUCUGCGGAGGAAAGCGGGGGAUCCUUCGGGACCUCGCGCUACAGGGGCGGCCGAUGGCAGAUUAGCUAGUUGGUGGGGUAAAGGCCUACCAAGGCGACGAUCUGUAGCUGGUCUGAGAGGACGACCAGCCACACUGGGACUGAGACACGGCCCAGACUCCUACGGGAGGCAGCAGUGGGGAAUUUUGGACAAUGGGCGCAAGCCUGAUCCAGCAAUGCCGCGAGUGUGAAGAAGGCCUUCGGGUUGUAAAGCACUUUUGUCCGGAAAGAAAACCUCGUGGUUAAUACCCGUGGGGGAUGACGGUACCGGAAGAAUAAGCACCGGCUAACUACGUGCCAGCAGCCGCGGUAAUACGUAGGGUGCAAGCGUUAAUCGGAAUUACUGGGCGUAAAGCGUGCGCAGGCGGUUCGCUAAGACAGAUGUGAAAUCCCCGGGCUUAACCUGGGAACUGCAUUUGUGACUGGCGAGCUAGAGUAUGGCA